This 501-nucleotide ribosomal RNA is filed under the name uncultured bacterium. RNAcentral describes it as "bacterial SSU rRNA". It matches the Rfam family "Bacterial small subunit ribosomal RNA", at positions 15 to 518 of the family's 1533-position model. The record is from RNAcentral.
GAUCCUGGCUUAGGAUGAACGCUGGCGGCGUGCCUAACACAUGCAAGUCGAACGAAGCACCUUGUUGAUCCUUCGGGUGAUAUGAUGGUGACUGAGUGGCGGACGGGUGAGUAACGCGUGGGUAACCUGCCCUGUACAGGGGGAUAACAGUCAGAAAUGACUGCUAAUACCGCAUAAGCGCACGAAAGGACAUCCUUUAGUGUGAAAAACUCCGGUGGUACAGGAUGGGCCCGCGUCUGAUUAGCUUGUUGGCGGGGUAAAGGCCCACCAAGGCGACGAUCAGUAGCCGGUCUGAGAGGAUGAACGGCCACAUUGGAACUGAGACACGGUCCAAACUCCUACGGGAGGCAGCAGUGGGGAAUAUUGCACAAUGGGGGGAACCCUGAUGCAGCCAACGCCGCGUGAGUGAAGAAGCAUUUCGGUAUGUAAAGCUCUAUCAGCAGGGAAGAUAAUGACGGUACCUGACUAAGAAGCUCCGGCUAAAUACGUGCCAGCAGCCGC